GAUGAACGCUGGCGGCGUGCCUAAUACAUGCAAGUCGAGCGAACAGACGCGGCUCUUGCUCCUCUGUCGUUAGCGGCGGACGGGUGAGUAACACGUGUAUAACCUACCUAUAUGACUGGUAUCAUUUCGGGACUCCGGCUCUUAUACCGUAUAACAUGCUGCACCGUAUUGUUCAACAGUGAAAUUCGGUCUUUCUGUCACUUAUAGAUGGAUCCCCGCCGCAUUAGCUAGUUGGUAAGGUAACGGCUUAUCAAGGCAACGAUGCGUAGCCGAACUGAGAGAGUGAUAGGCCACACUGGAGCGGAGACACGGUCAAGACUACUAAGAGAGGCAGCAGUAGGGAAUGUGCCGCAAUGGGCGAGAACAUGACGGAGCGACGCCGCGUGAGUGAAGGAGGUCUUCGGAUCGUAAAAAUCUGUUAUUAGGGAAGAACAGAUGUGUAAGGAAAUAUGCACGUAUUGACGGUAACGAAUCAGAAAGCCACGGCUAACUACGUG
RNAcentral lists this ribosomal RNA (497 nucleotides) under uncultured bacterium. RNAcentral's name for it is "partial 16S ribosomal RNA". It matches the Rfam family "Bacterial small subunit ribosomal RNA", at positions 28 to 507 of the family's 1533-position model. The record is from RNAcentral.